CUAAUCUUAACCACCUGGCUAACCUAGAGAUUACCCUAAUCUAAUCCAUCAUUAAGAACCCUAAUCACUACUCAAGCAACAUUCUCAAAAACACGAACCCAUAAAUUACUGAAAUCAUAUCAAAAUGUAGAUCUAAACAAGCUAAACAACUUUACUUAAACAACUAAAUGCAAAAAUGAAAUAGAUUAAGAGUAAUUAAGUUUUGAAGAUUCAUAAACACAAAGAAAAACUAAAGGAUAAAAGCUGGAUCCUAAGGACAAACCCCAAAGUGAUCUAUUUAUACUAAAAUGUUGAAAACCCUAGAUUCACUAGAGGACUAGAGACUUGAGGCGGUUUGGGCAAAUGCUCGAUCUUGGGGAUCGAGUAAUGAGGGUGCUGCAAAGUCGGCGCCUUUGUGUCUAUGCUCUGAGUGAUCAAUUUGAUCGAGUAGAUGCUUCUUCCUCUCCUAUCCGUAUGCUCAAAUGUCUGGUUGAGUGGGGAAUGAGGAGGAUCCGAAGACGCUUUGAUAGAUCAACAAUUCUUGUAGAGUUGGUCACCCUUGGUCGAGUAAAUGGGUCGAGUAGAGGAUCGAGUAGGAGGGGCGAAUAGAUCAAUCUGCUGCUUCAUCUGAAGCUGCCUUGAUCGAGUAAGAGGGUCGAGUACACUGCAGCCUCCUCUAUAGCUGCCAGGAUCGAGUAAAGAGGUCGAGUGAAUUGAUGUCUCUUAUGUAGUUGCCUGGAUCGAGUAGAGACCUUUUUAGCUCCUUCUGCACCUGAAAACACACCAAAACAUGCAAUGCGUAUGCAAGAUGAUCAUAGAUGCCUAAGUAUGUAAAAUAAGCUAAAAUGGUGCAAAAUGAUAUGAUACAAAAAAUGCACAGCUAAAUGAUGAUAAAAAUAUGCCUAAAAUGAGUAAAAUACAGUGUUAUUAGGGAGACGAGUACUUUUCUUUUUUACAUUGGUCGAAGUAUCAGGUAUGAACAAGGAGUCAAGUCCUACGAACACUAACUGUUUUGAAGAGGUAAAAGGAAGAGCAGUGAGAUUGGCUCUAGCCUUUUGGAUUAUGUUGGAAAACUGGAUGUCCUUAAUUUUAUCAGUUUGCCUUCUGGAUUUUUCAUUAGUCGGACUAAAUCGAAUUUGUAGUACUUAAUCAAUCCAGACAAUAAACUCGAAAGAAAGAUCAUAAUUUGAGACAAAAGUUUUGACUCAAUAAAACAACUCUCUAAUAAAAACAACACAACCAACUCUUAAGAAAAGAAAAAAUGAAG
This 1246-nucleotide small RNA is filed under the name Arabidopsis thaliana (thale cress). RNAcentral describes it as "ATSL094370". The record is from RNAcentral. Lineage: Eukaryota; Viridiplantae; Streptophyta; Magnoliopsida; Brassicales; Brassicaceae.